This is an RNA transcript of Mus musculus (house mouse), 716 nucleotides long. It is a transcript of the gene named predicted gene 8749, with no coding region annotated. The record is from RefSeq and is marked predicted. NCBI's taxonomy places the organism in Eukaryota, Metazoa, Chordata, Mammalia, Rodentia, Muridae. The transcript is spliced from 3 exons.
ACAGUUCUUUCUAUUCUAUUCUACCACACUUGUAUAUGAUACUCAUUAAUGAUAGACCCACCUUUUAAACCCACCAGAAGAUUAGGAGAACUUCAAUACUUCCACAUAUUCCUAACAUGAGUGAUGAAAUUUUUCCUGUGUGUGAGGAGAUCAUGGCAUCAUCUGACUCUGUAGCCGAAACAGGAAUGAAACUCUAUAUGUAGUUUAAGCUGGCCUUAGUCAAUGCAAGCUUCUACUUCAGACUCCUGAAUCAUGGAAUAAGCAUGGUGGCCAUGUUCAUCAGACCCACAUUGUGAGACCAGACCGCAACAGUUGGCAGGGGGGGGCUCAGGGCCAUGGAAUGUGCCUUCCACAUGGAGAUGACCAUCAACCAGAGCCUGCUCAACCUGCACGAGCUGGCCAAGGGGAAAGGUGAUGCUCACCUCUGCAACUUCCUGGAGCAGCACUGUCUGGGCGAGCAGGCCAAUGUCCUCAAGAAGAUGGGCGGCUACCUGACCAACCUGCGCCAGAUGGGGGCACCAGAGUACGGCUUGGCCGAGUACCUCUUUGACAAGCUCAGCCUGUCCUGAAGCUUCAACUGGACUGAACUGGGAUGUCCCCACUGCCAUGGGGUCUUCCUCUGGUCAUUAGACCUGGCGUCAGUUCAUGUACAUUUGAAGCAAGUUCACUCGUUUUCUGGCUCUGUUUGCAAUAAAUUUGUUUGUUUCAAAGCAAAA